AAUGCAUAGGAAUCUACCUAGUAGUAUGGGAUAGCCACUAGAAAUGGUGGGUAAUACUGUAUAAUCCCUGCGGGGGAAAGAUUUAUCGCUAUUAGAUGAGCCUAUGUUAGAUUAGCUAGUUGGUGGGGUAAUGGCCUACCAAGGCUGUGAUCUAUAGCUGGUCUGAGAGGAUGAUCAGCCACACUGGAACUGAGACACGGUCCAGACUCCUACGGGAGGCAGCAGUGGGGAAUAUUGGACAAUGGGCGCAAGCCUGAUCCAGCUAUGCCGCGUGAGUGAGGAAGGCCUUAGGGUUGUAAAACUCUUUCA
This 309-nucleotide ribosomal RNA is filed under the name uncultured Anaplasma sp. RNAcentral's name for it is "bacterial SSU rRNA". It matches the Rfam family "Bacterial small subunit ribosomal RNA", at positions 112 to 438 of the family's 1533-position model. The record is from RNAcentral. Lineage: Bacteria; Pseudomonadati; Pseudomonadota; Alphaproteobacteria; Rickettsiales; Anaplasmataceae.